AGGGGUGCGUUUGCGCCCGGCCGGAAGUGAGGAGAGUCACCAUGGGAACCGUGGACGCUGAAACUAGCCACUUCCUCUUGGCACUGAGAAGCUGAAUCUGCGCGAUCCUCACAUCAACCUCGGUCUCUCUGGCUGGAUAUUUAUCGGGUUCUGCCUGAAAGGCCGUCUAACGCCUUUCCUCUUGGAAAAGUCGCAGGAACAGAAUCUUGUUCUGUUGCCCAGGCUGCUCUUGAACUCUUGGCUUCAAGAGAUCCUCUUGCCUUGGCCUCCAAAAGUGCUGGGAUGAAUCUCUGUCAUGGUGGCAUGAGCCACCAUGCCUGGCCCAGAUCCUGAAUUCUAGCAGGACAGCUCAUGCCCACCAGUCUGAAGACACCAAAAGGAGAACUGACUCAAUGCAAGAAUGCAAUUUCUUUAGUUCCAUGACGUCACCCUUCAUUCUUCAACCAAUCAGUGAUCCUUAUACCUUGGCCCACUAACCAUCCAAACCCCUUAAAAUCCCUAGAUCCUAAACUCCUUGAGGAGGUGGAUUUGAGGUUUCCUCCAGUCUCCUUGUUUGGCUGCCUUGUGAUUAAACCUCUUUCUCUGCUGCA
Molecule: long non-coding RNA, 590 nt
Filed under: Homo sapiens (human)
Lineage: Eukaryota; Metazoa; Chordata; Mammalia; Primates; Hominidae
Description: HSALNT0394292
Source: RNAcentral